RNAcentral lists this ribosomal RNA (441 nucleotides) under uncultured Barnesiella sp. RNAcentral describes it as "bacterial SSU rRNA". It matches the Rfam family "Bacterial small subunit ribosomal RNA", at positions 355 to 794 of the family's 1533-position model. Lineage: Bacteria; Pseudomonadati; Bacteroidota; Bacteroidia; Bacteroidales; Barnesiellaceae. The record is from RNAcentral.
GGGGGAAUAUUGGGCAAGGGGACGAAAGUCUGACCCAGCGACGCCGCGUGAGGGAAGAAGGUCUUCGGAUUGUAAACCUCUUUUGUCGGGGAGUAACGUGCGGGACGGGUCCCGUAUUGAGAGUACCCGAAGAAAAAGCAUCGGCUAACUCCGUGCCAGCAGCCGCGGUAAUACGGAGGAUGCGAGCGUUAUCCGGAUUUAUUGGGUUUAAAGGGUGCGCAGGCGGCGCGCCAAGUCAGCGGUCAAAGUUCCGGGCUCAACCCGGUGUCGCCGUUGAAACUGGCGUGCUCGAGUGCGUGCGAGGAAGGCGGAAUGCGUUGUGUAGCGGUGAAAUGCAUAGAUAUGACGCAGAACUCCGAUUGCGAAGGCAGCUUUCCAGCGCGCUACUGACGCUGAGGCACGAAAGCGUGGGGAUCGAACAGGAUUAGAUACCCUGGUAGU